GAUGAAGAACGCAGCGAAAUGCGAUAAGUAAUGUGAAUUGCAGAAUUCAGUGAAUCAUCGAAUCUUUGAACGCACAUUGCGCCCGCCAGCAUUCUGGCGGGCAUGCCUGUUCGAGCGUCAUUUCAACCCUCGAGCCCCCCCGGGGGCCUUGGUGUUGGGGGACGGCACACCAGCCGCCCCCGAAAUGCAGUGGCGACCCCGCCGCAGCCUCCCCUGCGUAGUAGCACACACCUCGCACCGGAGCGCGGAGGCGGUCACGCCGUAAAACGCCCAACUUUCUUAGAGUUGACCUCGGAUCAGGUAGGAAUACCCGCUGAACUUAAGCAUAUCAAUAAGCGGAGGA
This 343-nucleotide unclassified non-coding RNA is filed under the name soil metagenome. RNAcentral describes it as "partial contains 5.8S ribosomal RNA, internal transcribed spacer 2, and large subunit ribosomal RNA". The stretch from base 1 to 120 matches the Rfam family "5.8S ribosomal RNA", at positions 35 to 154 of the family's 154-position model. The record is from RNAcentral.